Molecule: ribosomal RNA, 254 nt
Filed under: uncultured bacterium
Lineage: Bacteria
Description: partial 16S ribosomal RNA
Rfam family: Bacterial small subunit ribosomal RNA
Source: RNAcentral
UACGAAGGGGGCUAGCGUUGCUCGGAAUGACUGGGCGUAAAGCGCACGUAGGCGGCUUUGUAAGUCGGAUGUGAAAUCCCUCGGCUUAACCAAGGAAGUGCAUCCGAAACUACAGAGCUUGAGUACUUAAGAGGAUCGCGGAAUUCCCGGUGUAGAGGUGAAAUUCGUAGAUAUCGGGAGGAACACCAGUGGCGAAGGCGGCGAUCUGGGAAGAUACUGACGCUGAGGUGCGAAAGCGUGGGGAGCAAACAGGG